Molecule: long non-coding RNA, 736 nt
Filed under: Hordeum vulgare
Lineage: Eukaryota; Viridiplantae; Streptophyta; Magnoliopsida; Poales; Poaceae
Description: long non-coding RNA (HVUL_LNC011170)
Source: RNAcentral
GCGCGGAUCUCAUGGGUGGACACACGUCCCAGAUGAUGACCUGCUGCCGUACGUCGCUGUGGUAGCAGUAAAACCGGCAUUGAUUGUGCAAUCGCCCUUGAUCCGAUCGACCAGGUCUCCAAGUCUACAAGUACUACAGCCUUGAUCAAGUUGCGACAGCUAGCGAUCGACGGUCCGUCAACUCCGGCGACGGCGGCGGCGUCCAGCUUAACUACGACGACUUGGCUCGGCAGCAGCAUUCGUGCAUGCAUCUCAGCCGGGACUGACGGACGCCCUCUCGCGCGCGGCCAGGAAAAUCAAAGGGGACCACGACACGAAUCUCCGGUCGAUCGGCAACGUUCCAACGCGCAACGCGAUGGUUUGUGCGCGCAGAGUCGCGGAUUCCUCCUCGCCCCGUUAAUUGGCGGGAAAACGACGCCCGCGGGCGCGUGUAAACGUGCGACCCGGCGCGCGCUCCAGCUCGCGUCGCGGGUCCCGCGCGCUCUCUCCGGCUCCGGUUCACUACAUGCAUGCCCCGGGAACACAAUCAUGGUUGGUGGUGUCCGUGCGUGCUUCCAUCGAUCCACCGAUCAAGCGAGCGUGAUCUCGUCGCCUCCCGUCUUGUUGGAGUCUAUCGAUUGUUAAUGUAGUCCAAAUCCCACUUAAAUAUUUGGUAGGCCGUCCUGUUAUUGACCGGCCAUACGAUUUUAACUCAGUGGAAUGUCUUAACGGAUCUUAAAUAUUCGAGUUAAUCGAC